CCUACGGGAGACAGCAGUGGGGAAUAUUGCACAAUGGGGGAAACCCUGAUGCAGCGACGCCGCGUGAGUGAAGAAGUAUCUCGGUACGUAAAGCUCUAUCAGCAGGGAAGAAAAUGACGGUACCUGACUAAGAAGCCCCGGCUAACUACGUGCCAGCAGCCGGGGUAAUACGGAGGGGGCAAGCGUUAUCCGGAUUUACUGGGUGUAAAGGGAGCGUAGACGGCAGCACAAGUCUGGAGUGAAAUCCCGGGGCUUAACCCCGGAACUGCUUUUGAAACUGUGCGGCUGGAGUGCAGGAGGGGUAAGCGGAAUGCCUAGUGUAGCGGUGAAAUGCGUAGAUAUUAGGAGGAACACCGGUGGCGAAGGCGGCUUACUGGACUGUAACUGACGUUGAGGCUCGAAAGCGUGGGGAGCAAACAGGAUUAGAUACCCCUGUAGUC
RNAcentral lists this ribosomal RNA (440 nucleotides) under uncultured bacterium. RNAcentral's name for it is "partial 16S ribosomal RNA". It matches the Rfam family "Bacterial small subunit ribosomal RNA", at positions 338 to 795 of the family's 1533-position model. The record is from RNAcentral.